RNAcentral lists this ribosomal RNA (251 nucleotides) under uncultured bacterium. Its description in RNAcentral is "partial 16S ribosomal RNA". It matches the Rfam family "Bacterial small subunit ribosomal RNA", at positions 526 to 779 of the family's 1533-position model. The record is from RNAcentral.
CGUAGGUGCAAGCGUUAUCCGGAAUUAUUGGGCGUAAAGGGCUCGUAGGCGGUUCGUCGCGUCCGGUGUGAAAGUCCAUCGCUUAACGGUGGAUCCGCGCCGGGUACGGGCGGGCUUGAGUGCGGUAGGGGAGACUGGAAUUCCCGGUGUAACGGUGGAAUGUGUAGAUAUCGGGAAGAACACCAAUGGCGAAGGCAGGUCUCUGGGCCGUCACUGACGCUGAGGAGCGAAGCGUGGGAGUGAACAGGAUU